CGCGGAGUGGAGCAGUUGGCAGCUCGUCGGGCUCAUAACCCGAAGGUCACAGGUUCAAGUCCUGUCUCCGCAA
This is a transfer RNA of Geosporobacter ferrireducens, 73 nucleotides long. It matches the Rfam family "tRNA". From Rfam's summary of the family: Transfer RNA (tRNA) molecules are approximately 80 nucleotides in length. Their secondary structure includes four short double-helical elements and three loops (D, anti-codon, and T loops). Further hydrogen bonds mediate the characteristic L-shaped molecular structure. tRNAs have two regions of fundamental functional importance: the anti-codon, which is responsible for specific mRNA codon recognition, and the 3' end, to which the tRNAs corresponding amino acid is attached (by aminoacyl-tRNA synthetases). tRNAs cope with the degeneracy of the genetic code in two manners: having more than one tRNA (with a specific anti-codon) for a particular amino acid; and 'wobble' base-pairing, i.e. permitting non-standard base-pairing at the 3rd anti-codon position. The record is from Rfam. Lineage: Bacteria; Bacillati; Bacillota; Clostridia; Peptostreptococcales; Thermotaleaceae.